UUUCCGUAGGUGAACCUGCGGAAGGAUCAUUAAUGAGUUGUCAUGGGGUUCGAUGCUGGCAGCCAGUUUUUGGAUGCAUGUGCUUGCCCUAACAAUCAUCUUCUUCCAAACACCUGUGCACAUUUUUGAGGGAGUCUUGAGUUGGUUGCCGCUCUUGGGUGAUUUUCUCACUUUCCCUUAAAUCAUUAUACGCUAUUAACAAUGUUGAACGUGCUCUGUGCCGCAAGGCCAUUAAUAUAAUACAACUUUUAACAACGGAUCUCUUGGCUCUC
RNAcentral lists this unclassified non-coding RNA (272 nucleotides) under plant metagenome. RNAcentral describes it as "partial contains small subunit ribosomal RNA, internal transcribed spacer 1, and 5.8S ribosomal RNA". The record is from RNAcentral.